UACGGAGGAUCCGAGCGAUAUCCGGAUUUAUUGGGUUUAAAGGGUGCGUAGGCGGAUUUGUAAGUCAGCGGUAAAAAUGCGGUGCUCAACGCCGUAUCGCCGUUGAAACUGGCUGUCUUGAGAUGUCGAGAGGUAUGCGGAAUGCGCAGUGUAGCGGUGAAAUGCUUAGAUAUUGCGCAGAACUCCGAUUGCGAAGGCAGCAUACCGGCGGCGAUCUGACGCUGAGGCACGAAAGCGUGGGUAUCGAACAGG
Molecule: ribosomal RNA, 252 nt
Filed under: uncultured Bacteroidales bacterium
Lineage: Bacteria; Pseudomonadati; Bacteroidota; Bacteroidia; Bacteroidales
Description: partial 16S ribosomal RNA
Rfam family: Bacterial small subunit ribosomal RNA
Source: RNAcentral